Long non-coding RNA from Magallana angulata, 794 nucleotides. RefSeq lists it as uncharacterized. The transcript is spliced from 3 exons. The record is from RefSeq and is a predicted model, not a curated record. NCBI's taxonomy places the organism in Eukaryota, Metazoa, Mollusca, Bivalvia, Ostreida, Ostreidae.
UAAUCGGAACCUUUCUGAUUUUUAUAUUCACGAAAGAAUGAAAAAACCCGAGAAAGUCAAAACUUCGUAUAUCUCGGGAUUUUAACGAGACCAGUCUCAUACUCGUGAAAAUCGAGAGAGGAGUUCAAAUGGAAAAAGUAAGUAAAAGUUUUUGUUUCUUAUAUUGGCAAGCUUUUAAAUUAUUUAAAGUUGCAGAACAAUUGUUUAUUAAUGUGAAGUCGAAGUUUGGGGUGAUUAGCCUUAUCUCGUUAAAUUUUGUUCAGCAUGAAACAGUCUGACCAGCAAUCCUCGAUUUUGUCAACAAUCUAAAACGUGCUAAGGAGUAGUCAUUCGUCGAUUUACCUGCGGUUUCCAGAUGAUCUGAAGAUCGGGAUUAUAGAAAAUAUUGUCAAUUUGAUAUUGCUAAUGACCCAGUCAUGUCUGCUGAAGCCCAGAAGUUUCCAGACCAUGACAUUAAUGAAUAUUUCUUGAAUGGAAUGCAUGAGGAUUAGAAUGGAACCUUAUUCUGCCUUUUUACCAACUCACACCAUCUUUUCAAGAUUUAUGGAGCCAACCACAGAAGAAUUUGUUCUAUACACAUCAUUCAUAACAUUCUUAUUUAUGUUGCAUAACUUUAAAUGCUACUGGAUGAAUUGUGUUCACAUAAUGAAUACCAGCAAACUUUUUAUCGAGUGCACUUAAUUUGUAUUUUUCCUACCCAUCCAUCUAACAUAUGUUUUUAUAUAACAUAUUCAUAUACAUGUAACAUUUUUGAAAAGAGCUAUUUUUUUUUAAAUUGGAAUUUAGCCUUACCG